GCGGCCCGAGGAGGUGAGAGGAGUCAUCCACGAGAGGAGGAGUCAGAGAGGAGAAGGAGACGCAGCAAGCAGACGGUCUGACAUGCGCCUGCUACCCACUCGCAGUGCGCUACACUCCAGAGCUUCGCCUGUUCGCUCAGCUUCGUCUGUUCCAGAAUAAGCUUUACUGGCACAGACUGAACGAGGAGUUUGGCUUCCCUGAGUUGGACUGGUGGAUCUGAAACGUGGCUCCCAGCUGGCCAGCAUUUGGUUCCUCCUCUUCAGGCCGCGCCCACACAGGAACCAGGCUGUUGAAUACCUUCUUAUAUUAUUUUGACGCGACUUGUGAGGCUAAAAACUGGUUCUGACAUCUAGGUGCAGAAAGAUCUGCAUUCCCUCCAAAGCAACCGGAUUACACGCCCCCCUGGCCAUGGACACACCCACAAUCCAGCCUAACUCAGUCAUGUUCUGGUGAUUAAAAACA
Molecule: long non-coding RNA, 463 nt
Organism: Fundulus heteroclitus (mummichog)
Lineage: Eukaryota; Metazoa; Chordata; Actinopteri; Cyprinodontiformes; Fundulidae
Exons: 3
Source: RefSeq, a predicted model, not a curated record